RNAcentral lists this ribosomal RNA (908 nucleotides) under uncultured bacterium. RNAcentral's name for it is "bacterial SSU rRNA". It matches the Rfam family "Bacterial small subunit ribosomal RNA", at positions 8 to 933 of the family's 1533-position model. The record is from RNAcentral.
AGAGUUUGAUCCUGGCUCAGGAUGAACGUUGGCGGUGUGCCUAAUACAUGCAAGUCGAACGGAGAUUGUAGCAAUACGGUCUUAGUGGCGAACGGGUGAGUAACGCGUUGGUGAUCUGCCUCGAAGUGUGGAAUAACGAUUCGAAAGAAUCGCUAAUACCGCAUAGUCUCUCUUUUUCCAGAAAUUUGAGAGUAAAGGAUUUAUUCGCUUUGAGAGGAGCCUGCGUCCCAUCAGCUAGUUGGUAAGGUAAUGGCCUACCAAGGCGAUGACGGGUAGGGGACCUGAGAGGGUGGCCCCCCACAAUGGAACUGAAACACGGUCCAUACACCUACGGGUGGCAGCAGUAGGGAAUAUUAGAAAUGGACGAAAGUCUGAUCUAGCAACACCGCGUGUGCGAAGAAGGCCUUCGGGUUGUAAAGCACUUUUUGGAAGGAUUAGGAAGGAAUGUACUUCCAGAAUAAGUCUCGGCUAACUACGUGCCAGCAGCCGCGGUAACACGUAGGAGGCAAACGUUAUCCGGAUUUACUGGGCGUAAAGCGCGUGUAGGUGGUUCUGUAAGUAGGGCGUGAAAGCUCCUGGCUCAACUGGGAGAGGCCGUUCUAAACUGCAGAGCUAGAGGAUGGUAGAGGGAGGUGGAAUUCCGGGUGUAGCGGUGGAAUGCGCAGAUAUCCGGAGGAACACCAGUGGCGAAAGCGGCCUCCUGGACCAUUCCUGACACUCAGACGCGAAAGCUAGGGUAGCAAACGGGAUUAGAGACCCCGGUAGUCCUAGCCCUAAACGAUGUAAACUUGGCGUCGGUGGCUUAAUCGUCAUCGGUGUCCUAGCUAACGCGAUAAGUCUACCCCCUGGGGACUACGGGCCCCAAGGUUAAAAUUCAAAGGAAUUGACGGGGUCCCCGCACAAGCCGC